RNAcentral lists this ribosomal RNA (500 nucleotides) under uncultured Glomeromycotina. RNAcentral describes it as "partial small subunit ribosomal RNA". It matches the Rfam family "Eukaryotic small subunit ribosomal RNA", at positions 591 to 1092 of the family's 1831-position model. Lineage: Eukaryota; Fungi; Glomeromycota. The record is from RNAcentral.
CCAAUAGCGUAUAUUAAAGUUGUUGCAGUUAAAAAGCUCGUAGUUGAAUUUCGGGGUCAGCAGGUUGGUCGUCCCACUGGUAUGCACUGGCUUCGCUGAUUCCUCCUUUCUGACGAACUGUAAUGUCAUUAAUUUGGUGUUGCAGGGAAACAGGACUGUUACUUUGAAAAAAUUAGAGUGUUUAAAGCAGGCUAACGCUUGAAUACAUUAGCAUGGAAUAAUGAAAUAGGACGUUCGAUCCUAUUUUGUUGGUUUCUAGGAUUGACGUAAUGAUUAAUAGGGAUAGUUGGGGGCAUUAGUAUUCAAUUGUCAGAGGUGAAAUUCUUGGAUUUAUUGAAGACUAACUACUGCGAAAGCAUUUGCCAAGGAUGUUUUCAUUAAUCAAGAACGAAAGUUAGGGGAUCGAAGACGAUCAGAUACCGUCGUAGUCUUAACCAUAAACUAUGCCGACUAGGGAUCGGAUGAUGUUAAUUUUUUAAUGACUCAUUCGGCGCCUUACG